UACAGAGGGGGCUAGCGUUGCUCGGAAUCACUGGGCGUAAAGGGUGCGUAGGCGGGUAUUUAAGUCAGGGGUGAAAUCCUGGAGCUCAACUCCAGAACUGCCUUUGAUACUGAAGAUCUUGAGUUCGGGAGAGGUGAGUGGAACUGCGAGUGUAGAGGUGAAAUUCGUAGAUAUUCGCAAGAACACCAGUGGCGAAGGCGGCUCACUGGCCCGAUACUGACGCUGAGGCACGAAAGCGUGGGGAGCAAACAGG
Molecule: ribosomal RNA, 253 nt
Filed under: uncultured bacterium
Lineage: Bacteria
Description: partial 16S ribosomal RNA
Rfam family: Bacterial small subunit ribosomal RNA
Source: RNAcentral